Long non-coding RNA from Myxocyprinus asiaticus (Chinese sucker), 2035 nucleotides. RefSeq lists it as uncharacterized. NCBI's taxonomy places the organism in Eukaryota, Metazoa, Chordata, Actinopteri, Cypriniformes, Catostomidae. The record is from RefSeq and is a predicted model, not a curated record. The transcript has 3 exons.
GCUGUUUUGUCUGUAACCUCAAAUAUCAUUGGUUAGUCCCCUUUCCCGGAAAUCAGUUGUGAUUGGCUCCCUUUUAUUACGAAGAACCAUAACAAACUAACCUGUUCUUUGUGAGACAUCACUUCAUCAAGGGACCUACUGCAUGCCAAGUUGAAGGAUCCUGCUUGGCAUGUUGUUUCCCCUUUACACAGCACUCUAGCUAAUGACUCUUGUUCAAUAUCUCAGAUUGAUGAAGGGCAGAUUCAGUGAGAGCCGGUCAAGAGAUACAGCUGCUGGCGACACACAAACUCCAUGUAAUCCAGGUCAAGUGGAGUUCUCAAAAGUGCUCUCUCACAGAGAAGUUUCACCAAAAGAUGGUGCUUCAGAAUGUGCUGCAGAAUAAAGGACAAAAUAUAACUGAAACAAGCAACAAACAUUAUAAAGUAAUAAGUGAUCACCUAGUGAUCUUAACCCAUAAAUAUAAUUUUUUUUUUCUAUGGGGCAACAGAUAUUUGAGAGGCUGGGGGUAGGGACUGUAAGUGGGCCAAAUAUUCAAUUACUCAGGUCAAGUGACUUGGAAUAAAAGCUCUGGCAUUACUUAACCAUCUUUAUCUAGCAUCGUGGCAUACUGUGAGAAGGCCACAGACCUUGAAAUAAAUGGUCAUAUCUUUUACGUUAUUUUCUUGGGAGAAACUGUAAGAUUAAAAAUAAAAACAGUAUUUAAAAUAGUGUGAAAUUGAAUUUGAGUCUUGGAAAAUGUGUUAAAAAACAACAAAUUAAUUUUCUGAGGUGGUUUAUGUUCCCUCACAUUUAGAGUUAAAUCAUCUACAUUUGAAUGAAUGAACGUUACAUUUAUAUAGCGUUUUUCUGACACUACACUCAAAGCGCUUUACACAGUGAACAGGAGACUCUCCUCAACCACCACCAGUGUGCAGCAUCCACCUGGAUGAUGCAACAGCAGCCAUAGUGCACCAGUACAGUCACCACACACCAGCUAUUGGUGGAGAGGAGAGAGUAGAGUGAUACAGCCAAUUAAUGGAUGGGGAUUAUUAGGAGGCCAUGAUUGAGAAUUUGGCCAGGACACCAGUGUUACAGCCCUACUUUUUUCCAGAAGUGACCACAGUUUAACAUCUCAUCCAAAGGACAGUGCCUUUUUACAGUAUAGUGUUCCCAUCACUAUACUGGGGCAUUAGGACCUACACAGUCCACAGGGUGAGCACCCCCUGCUGGGCUCCCUAAUUCCUCUUCCAGCAGCAAACUUAGUUUACCCCACAAUGUCUCCCAUCCAGGUACUGACCAGACUCAACUCCGCUUAGCUUCAGUAGAAAACCAGUCUUGAGCUACAGGGUGAUAUGGGUGCUGGCUAUGCUUUUGUAUGACAGCAAUGAUCUAAAAAGAGUCAUCUGAAAAGUAUCCUGUGAAGAAGUCUAAAAUGCCCCUGGUGUAGUAAACUACAGCUAUUAAUUACAAUUUAGGCACAGUUUAGGCCUAAAAGCAUAGCUGUGGGUGACGUGUAGGUAAGAACCCUUGUACAAGGGAGGGGAAGCAUAAUAAAACAAUCAACCACUCAUAUUGACAAGACAGCAAUAUCUAGGCUGAUAACAAAAAAUGCUUUCUCUAAAAUAUUUAUAUUGCAUGCUUAUAUGUACACUAAUUUACUUUUUUUUUUUUUUUUUUUUUUUUUUAAAUCUAAAGUGGCAUACAUUAUGCAAACUAAACACAGUCACCAUAUAGCAACUUAAAAUCAGUGGUUUAAAGUCACCAAUGUAGACGCAGACACGUUGCAUCCUCUUGUUACUAAGGCUAUGAUUUAUUUUCCUGGGCUCACAACCUUUCAAAUAAUUAUAAAGUGUCUUACAACUGCAAUGACACAAGUCAGAUUGUGUAUUAUAUAUAAAUAAAUAGCAGUUCUUAAAGUUCUAUAGAUACAUCACAGGAAUGCAACAAUUAGCUGGUCAGCUUCCUGUUUUUAAAGUGUCUGGCAAAGAUACACAGUACUUACAUUAUAUAACAUUACAUAAGCCCUGUUAUCAUAUGAAGAAUUAGCUACAAAUAA